UCAGACGGCCGGGCGGCCGCUGGUCCUGGACUGGUUCCAGGGCUGGAGGAAAGUCCGGGCUCCACGGGAAUACGGUGCUGGUCAACGGCCAGCGAGGGCGACCUCAGGGAAAGUGCCACAGAAAUCAGACCGCCAGCCCGGCUUGCCGCGCUGGUAAGGGUGAAACGGUGCGGUAAGAGCGCACCGCGCCCCUGGCAACAGGGGCGGCACGGUAAACCCCACCGGGAGCAAGGCCGAAUAGGGGUGGCCGGCGGAAGUCCUGCAAGGGACUCGACCGCGGGGACGUUUCCCGUCCUGCCACCCGGGUUGGCCGCGAGAGGCAUGCCGCGAGGCAUGUCCCAGAGGAAUGGUCGCCUCAUCCUGACGGCAUUGCCGGCAGGGUGGACAGAACCCGGCUUACAGGCCGUCUGACGCU
RNAcentral lists this RNase P RNA (415 nucleotides) under Teichococcus deserti. Its description in RNAcentral is "Roseomonas deserti Bacterial RNase P class A". It matches the Rfam family "Bacterial RNase P class A". Rfam says of the family: Ribonuclease P (RNase P) is a ubiquitous endoribonuclease, found in archaea, bacteria and eukarya as well as chloroplasts and mitochondria. Its best characterised activity is the generation of mature 5'-ends of tRNAs by cleaving the 5'-leader elements of precursor-tRNAs. The record is from Rfam by way of RNAcentral. Lineage: Bacteria; Pseudomonadati; Pseudomonadota; Alphaproteobacteria; Acetobacterales; Roseomonadaceae.